Molecule: long non-coding RNA, 1948 nt
Filed under: Sus scrofa (pig)
Lineage: Eukaryota; Metazoa; Chordata; Mammalia; Artiodactyla; Suidae
Description: lncRNA (ENSSSCG00025040714.1)
Source: RNAcentral
CCAGCCUACACCACAGCCACAGCAAUGCCAGAUCUUUAACCCACUGAGUGAGGCCAGGGAUCCAAAAUGCAACCUCAUGGUUCCUAGUGGAUUUGCUUCCUGCGCCUCAAUGGGGAACUCCUGCUUUGUUUGUUUUGUUUUGUUUUGUUUGCUACAUCUAGAGAUCCUGGGCCAGGGAUCAAAUCCAAGCCUCAUCUGUGACCUACACCACAACUGUGGCAACGAUGGUUGCUUGAACAACCACUGUGCCAUGCCAGAAUUGAACCAGCAAUGCCAGAGACAAGCUGGAUUUUUAUUGAAGUUGAUUUACAAUGUUGUAUAAAUUUCUGUGAUAUAGUAGUGUGAUUCAGUUAUAUGUGCAUACAUGUGCAUUAUUUUAUAGAUUCUUUUCCCCUAUAGGUUAUUUUAUAGAUUCUUUUCCCCUAUAGGUUAUGACAGAAUACUGAGUAGCAUUCCCAGUGCUGUACAGCAGGUCCCCAUUGACUUUCCAUUCCAUGUACUAUAGCGUGCAUAUGCCAAUCCCAAAUUCCCGGUUCCCCCCCCUCCACCUUUCCCCUUUGGUAACCGUAAGUUUGUUUUCAAAGCCUAUGAGUUUGAAUCUGUUUUGUAAAUAUGUUCACAUGUAACUUUAUUUUGGAGCAGGUAAGAGGCUGCACCCAUGGCAUGUGGAAGUUCCUGGGCCAGGAAACAAACCAGUACCACAGGAGUGACCUAAGCUGUUGCAGUGACAAUGUGAGAUCCUUAAUCUGUUGAACCACAAGAAAACACCUCUAUCAUUUUUUUUAGAUUCCACAAUAAGUGAUAUCAUAUGAUAUGAUAUGAAUGUUAACUGCAAAUUGGCACAGUGGAACUCUCUAGGGUAAUAGAAAUGUUCUAAAACUGGAUCAUAAUGAUCAUUGAAUAACUUUAGACUUACCAAAACUGUUGAAUUUAAACUUAUAAUCUCAAUGACUGAAUUUCAUGGUAUAUAAAUUAUCCCUCAAGAAAUCUAUUAACAAAUUUUAAAAAGUUUUUUUUUAAUUACUCAAGGUGUGUUGAAAGUUUGUAUCUUUGUUAUCAACAUGCUUUAUUACACACCAUUGUUUUUAUGGUUGCCACUCUUUAUAGCAAUUACAUUUAUCUCUUUGGUCCUCAGUUGUGUUUUAUAAAGGAGAUGAUAAAUACAUUAUGGAUUAAACUUAGUGGAAUCAAAUUGAGUUAAAGCCACACUGAAUAUGUUUUUCCUAAACUAACAAGCUUUGAUAUGGCAGGAAUUUGGAGAUCUUUGUAUAUAUCUAAUACUUGUUUAUUUCUUUACUUUUUAGUUUUUGCCCCGAAGUCCUUGGUACUGUUUAUGGUAUUGUUUUCCCUUCACUGUCUUUAUCACCUGUCUUAGCUUUGGUUCACCAGAAGCAGAUGCCCAGCCAAGUAUUCAUGUGCAAGCACUUUAUUGGAAGGAAUAAGGACCAUGGAACAUGGGUUAGAGUGAGGAGAAGUGAUACAGGGAAGAGAGUACAUCCAAACAAGCUUACCUUAAGUCAUCCCCUGACACGAGUGAGCAGAGUUUUCAUCCUGUAGGGAAAUUCUGGGAAAUGACGCAACAUCCAAACUUCAGAAUUAACACACGACGAAAGGGUGAAAAAGAUGGUAUACUCCAUAACUCUCCAUCAAGGGCUGUCCCUGGUGGGGCAUAAUUUGCAAUCAGGUCUGCCAUCAAGCACUGCAGAAGGUAGGUUCCACCUGGUGCUGACAGGGGCAGUCAGACUGGAAUGCAAUGGACAUGGGGAAGGGAUUCCAGAGAAUGUGGGAGAAAUGCUGACAGAUUCUGCCACUCUAUCCUUCACCGCAGAAUCAAUUAUCAAUAUUCUUCUCAUAAAGUGAACUAAGUUCUAAGUACAUUCUACAAGUGUGUAACUACCGCUCCUGAUGGCACCUUCAAAAAUUCACCUCCCCCCAAAUAAACAAUGUG